GAUGAACGCUGGCGGCGUGCCUAAUACAUGCAAGUCGAGCGAACAGACAAGGAGCUUGCUCCUUUGACGUUAGCGGCGGACGGGUGAGUAACACGUGGGUAACCUACCUAUAAGACUGGGAUAACUUCGGGAAACCGGAGCUAAUACCGGAUAAUAUUUCGAACCGCAUGGUUCGAUAGUGAAAGAUGGUUUUGCUAUCACUUAUAGAUGGACCCGCGCCGUAUUAGCUAGUUGGUAAGGUAACGGCUUACCAAGGCGACGAUACGUAGCCGACCUGAGAGGGUGAUCGGCCACACUGGAACUGAGACACGGUCCAGACUCCUACGGGAGGCAGCAGUAGGGAAUCUUCCGCAAUGGGCGAAAGCCUGACGGAGCAACGCCGCGUGAGUGAUGAAGGUCUUCGGAUCGUAAAACUCUGUUAUUAGGGAAGAACAUACGUGUAAGUAACUAUGCACGUCUUGACGGUACCUAAUCAGAAAGCCACGGCUAACUACGUGCCAGCAGCCGCGGUAAUACGUAGGUGGCAAGCGUUAUCCGGAAUUAUUGGGCGUAAAGCGCGCGUAGGCGGUUUUUUAAGUCUGAUGUGAAAGCCCACGGCUCAACCGUGGAGGGUCAUUGGAAACUGUAAAACUUGAGUGCAGAAGAAGGAAAGUGGAAUUCCAUGUGUAGCGGUGAAAUGCGCAUAAUAAUAUGGAGGAACACCAGGUGGCGAAGGCGACUUUCUGGUCUGUAACUGACGCUGAUGUGCAAAAGCGUGGGGAUCAAACAGGAUUAGAUACCCGUGGUAGUCCACGCCGUAAACGAUGAGUGCUAAGUGUAAGGGGGUUUCCGCCCCUUAGUGCUGCAGCUAACGCAUUAAGCACUCCGCCUGGGGAGUACGACCGCAAGGUUGAAACUCAAAGGAAUUGACGGGGACCCGCACAAGCGGUGGAGCAUGUGGUUUAAUUCGAAGCAACGCGAAGAACCUUACCAAAUCUUGACAUCCUUUGACAACUCUAGAGAUAGAGCCUUCCCCUUCGGGGGACAAAGUGACAGGUGGUGCAUGGUUGUCGUCAGCUCGUGUCGUGAGAUGUUGGGUUAAGUCCCGCAACGAGCGCAACCCUUAAGCUUAGUUGCCAUCAUUAAGUUGGGCACUCUAAGUUGACUGCCGGUGACAAACCGGAGGAAGGUGGGGAUGACGUCAAAUCAUCAUGCCCCUUAUGAUUUGGGCUACACACGUGCUACAAUGGACAAUACAAAGGGCAGCGAAACCGCGAGGUCAAGCAAAUCCCAUAAAGUUGUUCUCAGUUCGGAUUGUAGUCUGCAACUCGACUACAUGAAGCUGGAAUCGCUAGUAAUCGUAGAUCAGCAUGCUACGGUGAAUACGUUCCCGGGUCU
RNAcentral lists this ribosomal RNA (1377 nucleotides) under uncultured bacterium. RNAcentral's name for it is "bacterial SSU rRNA". It matches the Rfam family "Bacterial small subunit ribosomal RNA", at positions 28 to 1381 of the family's 1533-position model. The record is from RNAcentral.